Long non-coding RNA from Pistacia vera, 596 nucleotides. RefSeq lists it as uncharacterized. The transcript is spliced from 4 exons. NCBI's taxonomy places the organism in Eukaryota, Viridiplantae, Streptophyta, Magnoliopsida, Sapindales, Anacardiaceae. The record is from RefSeq and is a predicted model, not a curated record.
GUUGAAUUAUAUAUAUGUUUAUUAAUGCUCUAUAGAGGAAGAAGAAGAAGAAGAAGAAGGGUCCCAAUACAGUCUCAAAAAUCUCUGCAGCAUGUGUAAAAGUACUUAUCACAUCAGCUUUUACAAAGAGUUUGUGAAUUGUGAUUGCUUUUGAUACCUUGCAUAGAGAAAAUGAAGCCGCUGAAAAGAAUCUAGAAAUUAUAGAAACUGAUGCUCAGAACUGGAUGUCAGAGAUCGAUAAAAUCACUGCAGAAGCUGAAAAUUCUUUGGAGGAUGAAGUCAAAGCAAACAAGAGGUGUCUCAGUGAAUCCCCGACAACGUAACUAACUCAAUAAACAGAUUUGUUAAAGGCAUUUUAUGCAACAUGGUUGAUGAAAUGCUUGUGAGGAAUGGUUUCUUACCCGUGGUGAGUUUGUUGUCAAAUGGUUCAAAGAAGCAUAAUUGAAGCCACUACUUGGUACUGAUUGGUUUGCUUGCUUGCUUGCAAACAAAUGAGAAUUACGGUCUGACGUGAGUGCCUGAGCAGACCCCAUUUAAUUAGUUUUAGAACCCAGGCUGAACUUACUAUACAAGCUUCCAUGACUGCAACAGAUGGU